UGAACGCUAGCGACAGGCCUACACAUGCAAGUCGAGGGGCAAGCACAAGGAGCAAUCUGAGGUGGCGACCGGCGCACGGGUGAGUAACACGUAUGCAACCUGCCUGUAAGCGGGGAAUAACCCGUUGAAAGACGGACUAAUACCGCAUAAUACUAAAUUACUGCAUGGUAAUUUAUUUAACAUUUAUGGCUUACAGAUGGGCAUGCGCAUGAUUAGCUAGUUGGAGAGGUAACGGCUCCCCAAGGCAACGAUCAUUAGGGGUUCUGAGAGGAAGGUCCCCCACACUGGUACUGAGACACGGACCAGACUCCUACGGGAGGCAGCAGUGAGGAAUAUUGGUCAAUGGACGAGAGUCUGAACCAGCCAAGUCGCGUGCAGGAAGAAUGUUCCCUAUGGAUUGUAAACUGCUUUUGCAGGGGAAUAAAGUGCAUCACGUGUGAUGUUUUGUAUGUACUCUGCGAAUAAGGAUCGGCUAACUCCGUGCCAGCCGCCGC
RNAcentral lists this ribosomal RNA (494 nucleotides) under uncultured bacterium. RNAcentral describes it as "bacterial SSU rRNA". It matches the Rfam family "Bacterial small subunit ribosomal RNA", at positions 30 to 518 of the family's 1533-position model. The record is from RNAcentral.